UGGAUGAUCUUGGAGGUCUUUUCCAACCUUGGUGAUUCUGUGAUUCUACAGCUCUUCCCUGUGUUUUGUUUUAGGUGUUUUGUUCCAGUGUCCUCUGCAGAAUGUGAACCUUCCAGAUGCUGAACCAUGGGGUUGGGGCUGCUCCUGACUUACAGUCUCCUGCAAGGCUCGGUAAGCACUCCCAGCACAGAGCACCGAGCGCUUCAAGGCAAAGCUGGUCUCCAUGGGAAUAGAGGACAAACUAAAAAUAACUGUUCAGAUGACAUCUUCACAGUUUUGCAGGAGAUACUGUCAUGGCAAUGGAAAGAGUUGUAACCUGUUGUCAUGAUAACUGAAGUUUGAAAUUAAUGGGAAAGCAUUCUGCUUCCAUAUUUAUUCAUUGUGGGGCUAACACUCAGGGUUACAUACUGCUGCCCUGGAGGAAUUGCUGGAGAAAUUAAUGGGACCAAGCUCGUUAGGCCUUGCUAUCACUGGCUCUUCCCUCUUUCACUACUGCCAAUUAUUUAUUUUCAGAGGUUUCAGCACAUUUUGAAACUUUGUAAAGAUUUUACUUCAUUUGGAGAUGCUGUCAAACAUUACUCUGGGCUGAUGGUGGCAGAGCAACACGCCGGGGGCUGGCUGCUGGUUUUAAUAGGGACCAAAACACAGCCUGAUGGAAGGGGCACUGUCCUGCCUCUGCUAAUACACCCACAUGCUUAAUGCACAAAUUGUUGGUGUUCCCACUGUUGUAAUGUCUAACUCAGGGCACAGGCUGCCAGUAAAGCUGGUAUGGAUUUCACAGGAUCAUGAAGGUUGGAAGAGACCUCAGAUAUCCUCAAGAUACCCAAAGCAGGGAAGGAAACAGCUGAGGGAAUAAGACAUCCAGACGGAGAAGAAAAGGGGUGGCAAGUCAACUGGAUGUGCUGUCUGAUGAUAGGAGGAAGAGGAGAAAGAUCUCAAUCACCAUCAGCUCCUAAAAGGCACAAAUGGCCCACUCCAAAUCUGCUCGCCUUUGCCAAUCCAGGGGAACCCAGGAGACAGGUCAUGGUGCUGUACAUACAGAUGGACCUCUGUGCUGCGUCGCAUGGCGUGGAGAAAUCACUGUGUGCCAGGAGAGGAGAAAAAUUCAAUAUUUAAUCUGCAAACACGCCUGCAGAAGGCAAGCCACUACAUUUUCAUUUAUGAUUUUCAGCCUACAAAAAUACAACAGCAUAUACUGAAGUGCUUCUCUGCUGCUCCUGACAUAAAUAACAAAAGUGGAGGUGAGGAGAAAAUAUUAUGUGUGUGGGGCAGAGUGGAGGGCAGCACCUGAGCUGUGUUAUCAGAGAGAGAAGCAAAUGGGGAUACGAAUUGGACUGCAAACUCCCCAGGGUGGUGGGCACAGAUCUGAGAUCAGGGAGCAAUGGGACACAGCUCUGAUGCAGGGCUGGGGCUGGGGGUGAUGUGUGGGGCCGGGGUUGGGCAAAGUGAUCCCUGUGGGUCCCUUCCAGCUCGAGGUUCUAUGAAGGGGAGGGAAUUCCCUGAAACAAUCUCUUUUUAAAGGAGCUUCCCAGCAGGAACUACAUCCAAUUGAGUGAUCUUCUCAACUGAUCCUCUCAGCUGUGUCCAGAUGUGGAGUCCUCAGUGCAGGAGAGACGUGGAGCUGUUGGAGAGCAUCCAGAGGAGGGCCACAAAAAUGAUGCCAAGGAUGGAACAGCUCUGCUAUGAGGACAGGCUGAGAGCUGGGGCUGUGCAGAUGGAGAAGGGAAGGGCAGGCUGCGAGGUGAGCUGAGAGCAGCCUGUCAGCAUCUAAAGGGGAGCAACAGGAAAGAAGGG
Meleagris gallopavo (turkey) is the source of this 1794-nucleotide long non-coding RNA. Lineage: Eukaryota; Metazoa; Chordata; Aves; Galliformes; Phasianidae. The record is from Ensembl.